RNAcentral lists this transfer RNA (65 nucleotides) under Cordylochernes scorpioides. Its description in RNAcentral is "tRNA-Gly". The record is from RNAcentral. Lineage: Eukaryota; Metazoa; Arthropoda; Arachnida; Pseudoscorpiones; Chernetidae.
UGCAUCGGCCGGGAAUCGAACCCGGCCCGCGUGGCAGGCGAGCAUUCUACCACUGAACCAAAAGC